CAGUGACAGCUGUUUUUAUCCGGGUUUCGCUCUAUUUUAUCAUCUACCUGUUUAAACUGCUUUCUUGGUUUAGAAAAAUCUUUGUUACGUGACGAGAUCAGAUUUAUUGCAAGUUAUGUAAUAUUUUUCCAAAGAAAACGUUCAGAGGUCGGAAUACUAGGUAGUGAAGAAUCCAAUCAUGGGAAAACGGAACAAGGAAAAGAGAAAUCCACUCCGGAUGUAAACAGACCAAAAGGAGUAUUUUGGACAGCAGUGUGGGGUGACUAACGGUAAAAGAAAGCAAGUUUUACCAGAAACACUCCUUAAACUGGCCAGACACACGCCGUUUCCCGGUACCUUGAUAUUUUCUGUACAUUUUGAUAUCCUUAACAUGGCUUUAUUUUCAAUUCUUGUUUGACUACAAAUGCACGCUGGCAAUCUGAAUACUUGCAAAAUAAAACAACAUUGUGAUUACAUGCAAAAAAUGUUAAAAUUCUCGAUCGCUUCGUAGCUUCCUCAUAUGUUGUUUACAGGGGGUAUGAAGUGUAUGCGGAUGUGGCCGAGUGGUUAAGGCGACUGACUCGAAAUCAGUUUCCAUCUUGGAGCACAGGUUCGAAUCCUGUCAUCCGCGAUCAACAUUUUUUCAACUUUUUCUUGAUUUUAAAAGAUUUGUAAGAAUUUAUGAAAGUGCAGAUUUUCGUAAGGUGUUAGCAGAGUUUUUUCUAGCAAAAAUAUGUAAACUUUGACCGAAAUAAAAAUUAUAACAGUAGA
Molecule: long non-coding RNA, 750 nt
Organism: Daphnia pulex (common water flea)
Lineage: Eukaryota; Metazoa; Arthropoda; Branchiopoda; Diplostraca; Daphniidae
Exons: 2
Source: RefSeq, a predicted model, not a curated record